UCGCCUGGGCAUUUUCUAGUUACUUCCUUGGAGCCAGCUCUGCCAUCUUGCUCUUGAAAACCGCAAGCUAGCUGCCUAGGUUCCCAUGACAGAGUAUGGAAGACAACCUCCACCUGGCCGUUACACGGACCCAAGAGCACAGAGCAGCUGCCACCUGGAACCAUGACAACAGCAGUAUCAGGAAGAAGGAAAAUGUGCAAAUUACAGCUGUCACCUGGACUUGACCCAUGUCUCUCCCAUUCUCUGGCCUUCAGCACCCAAAAUGCAUCAAGGGUCAGCAGGUGCUGGUUUGAACUCAGCGCCUCAAGUAUUCUAAGUACAGCCUUCUUUUAUCUUUUCCUUUCGACACCGUCUUGCUCGGUGGCCCCGGGGAAGGUCCAGGCAGGGCCUGCAUCUAGAGAAGUACAUGGCAUGAUGUUCUUUUCGUUGCGGUGGGAACCUUGCUCACUUCCCUCUUCACUCGGUCACGCGUACUCUUCUGUGAUCAUGCCGUGACUUAGACUUUCUUAUUUCUAGACACUUAGUCACCUAGGUAGCUUCUUGUGUGUGGGAUGAUAAUCAAUUCUGCAUUCAUCAGUGACACCUGCCAGGCACUUGCUAUGUGCCAGGCUCUGUGGUAUGCACACUGCAAACAUUAGUAAAUGGUUAACCUGGGUAACAAUGAAACUCCCUUACAGCCUGUGUGGGGAGAUGAGGAAACCCAGGUCCAGAGAGGGACCAAGCCUCGAACAGACAGCCUGGCCCAUGUGCAAAGCAGGAGCAUGUGGCUUUACCCGUGUCACUGGCCAUUUCUGGAUGACAAUCGGGGGCAUUUCUGUGGUAGUCCCUCCAUGAGCACCCUGACCAUUCCCUCAAGCACCUUAACCUUCAUUCCCUUCCACCCAGCUGAGACAAUUCACUGUAGCCGCAGGCCAUGUGGAAUGUUCUGUGUGUCCCACCUUCAAUCUCAUAAGGGAAAACUGUGUUUUCAUGGAUGUUUGAAUAUUAAUUUCUUUUGUUUCUGCUGCAUCUCAGCAUUUUCUUGGGUUUAUUAGUAUUUUGUAUUUUCUUGGAGG
Molecule: long non-coding RNA, 1055 nt
Organism: Mesocricetus auratus (golden hamster)
Lineage: Eukaryota; Metazoa; Chordata; Mammalia; Rodentia; Cricetidae
Exons: 3
Source: RefSeq, a predicted model, not a curated record